ACUCAGGCUGUUGCUGCCAAUUGGGAGUGAACCAGCAGAUGGAAGCCCCUCUCUCUCCCACUGUGCAUAACUGUCUGCCAAAUAAAUAAAUAAAAAUCUAAAAAAGAAAAAAACAAAACCAGGGGCCUGGCUUCUGCUUCACCACUUAGGUUUUGUACUCUGGUCAGGUGUGAUGAACGGUUAUACCCACACAGUCUGUUCACACAGGGUGAGCUGAGUCCAGAUUCCUUUGGUCAGGUGUAAUGAACAGUUAUACCUACACAGUCUGUUCACACAGGGUGAGCUGAGUCCAGAUUCCUUUGGUCAGGUGUAACGAAUAGUUAUACCUACACAGUCUGUUCACACAGGGUGAGCUGAGUCCAGAUUCCUUUGGUCAGGUGUGAUGAACAGUUAUACCUACCCAGUCUGCUCACACAGGACGAGCUGAGUCCAGAUUCCCUAGAGUCACA
Molecule: non-coding RNA, 449 nt
Organism: Oryctolagus cuniculus (rabbit)
Lineage: Eukaryota; Metazoa; Chordata; Mammalia; Lagomorpha; Leporidae
Source: RefSeq, a predicted model, not a curated record